UCUAAAUUAGUAUAAUAAGUACAUUUACCUUCCAAGUAAAAAGACUACAACGCUAGAUUUAGAA
RNAcentral lists this transfer RNA (64 nucleotides) under Dolabella auricularia (sea hare). RNAcentral's name for it is "tRNA-Gly". Lineage: Eukaryota; Metazoa; Mollusca; Gastropoda; Aplysiida; Aplysiidae. The record is from RNAcentral.